AGUACAACGGAGGUGCCUGGGCUGUUGCUGACCUCAAGGUCGUGCACGCCCGGAGCGCUCUCUCACAUCCAUCUCACCCCUUUGUGCAUCAUCGCGUGGGGCCCUCUCCUUUGGCUUGUUCCGGAAGGGGGGGGGGGGUUCACGUUUUUACAUGAACAACCCAUUAAUGCAUGUGUAGAAUGUCUUACUUUUGCGGUCACACGCAAUCAAUACAACUUUCAACAACGGAUCUCUUGGCUCUCGCAUCGAUGAAGAACGCAGCGAAAUGCGAUACGUAAUGUGAAUUGCAGAAUUCAGUGAAUCAUCGAAUCUUUGAACGCACCUUGCGCCCCUUGGUAUUCCGAGGGGUGCACCCGUUUGAGUGUCGUGAACACCCUCAACCUUCUUGGUUUAUCGACCGGGAAGGCUUGGACUUUGGAGGUUUUUGUUGCUGGCCUCGUUUGAAGCCAGCUCCUCCUAAACGAAUUAGUGGGGUCCGCCGUGCCGACCCUCGACGUGAUAAGUACGCUUCUACGUCUUGGGGUUUCGCACUGUCGCCUGCUUCCAACCGUCUUCGAAUGAAGACAACCUUAUAGACCUUGACCUCAAAUCGGGUG
RNAcentral lists this ribosomal RNA (596 nucleotides) under uncultured Russula. Its description in RNAcentral is "eukaryotic LSU rRNA". The stretch from base 214 to 367 matches the Rfam family "5.8S ribosomal RNA". The record is from RNAcentral. Lineage: Eukaryota; Fungi; Basidiomycota; Agaricomycetes; Russulales; Russulaceae.